AGUGAACGCUGGCGGCGUGCUUAACACAUGCAAGUCGAACGAGAACGGAAUAUAGCUUGCUAUAUUUGUCAGCUAAGUGGCGCACGGGUGAGUAAUGUAUAGAUAACCUGCCCUUAAGAAAGGAAUAACAGUUGGAAACGACUGCUAAUGCCCUAUAUGCCUAUAAUACAUAAGUAUGCAAGGGAAACGCUUUAGUGCUUAAGGAUGGGUCUGUAUGGUAUCAGCUUGUUGGUGAGGUAAUGGCUCACCAAGGCUAUGACGCCUAACUGGUUUGAGAGGAUGAUCAGUCACACUGGAACUGAGACACGGUCCAGACUCCUACGGGAGGCAGCAGUGGGGAAUAUUGCACAAUGGACGAAAGUCUGAUGCAGCAACGCCGCGUGGAGGAUGACACAUUUCGGUGCGUAAACUCCUUUUAUAUAGGAAGAUAAUGACGGUACUAUAUGAAUAGGCACCGGCUAACUCCGUGCCAGCCGCCGCCGUAA
RNAcentral lists this ribosomal RNA (485 nucleotides) under uncultured bacterium. RNAcentral's name for it is "partial 16S ribosomal RNA". It matches the Rfam family "Bacterial small subunit ribosomal RNA", at positions 29 to 523 of the family's 1533-position model. The record is from RNAcentral.